RNAcentral lists this ribosomal RNA (590 nucleotides) under Antennarius striatus (striated frogfish). Its description in RNAcentral is "partial 16S ribosomal RNA". It matches the Rfam family "Bacterial large subunit ribosomal RNA", at positions 1809 to 2607 of the family's 2925-position model. Lineage: Eukaryota; Metazoa; Chordata; Actinopteri; Lophiiformes; Antennariidae. The record is from RNAcentral.
AAAAACAUCGCCUCUUGUAAAUAUCAAAUAAGAGGCCCCGCCUGCCCUGUGACUAUAUGUUUAACGGCCGCGGUAUCUUGACCGUGCAAAGGUAGCGCAAUCAAUUGUCUUUUAAAUGGAGACCUGUAUGAAUGGCGUAACGAGGGCUUGACUGUCUCCUUUUCUCAGUCAAUGAAAUUGAUCUCCCCGUGCAGAAGCGGGGGUAAACACAUAAGACGAGAAGACCCUGUGGAGCUUUAGACGCUAGGGCAGACUAAUGUUAAAUUAUCCUCUCAAAGAAUAACACCUAAAACCCCUGCCCCCAUGUCUUUGGUUGGGGCGACCAUGGAGUAAAGAGCAACCUCCACGUGGAAUAAGAGUACUACUCCCUAAAACUAGGGCUACCACCCUAUUUGUCAGAAUUUCUGGCCUUAUAGAUCCGGCUUAAGCCGAUUAACGAAUUGAGUUACCCCAGGGAUAACAGCGCAAUCUCCUUUAAAAGACCAUAUCUAAAAGGGGGUUUACGACCUCGAUGUUGGAUCAGGACAUCCUAUUGGUGCAGCCGCUAUUAAGGGUUCGUUUGUUCAACGAUUAAAGUCCUACGUGAUCUG